UGCCCAGUGGCCUAAUGGAUAAGGCAUCAGCCUCCGGAGCUGGGGAUUGUGGGUUCAAGUCCCACCUGGGUUACAA
Non-coding RNA from Cololabis saira (Pacific saury), 76 nucleotides. NCBI's taxonomy places the organism in Eukaryota, Metazoa, Chordata, Actinopteri, Beloniformes, Belonidae. The record is from the annotation of a RefSeq genome assembly.